Molecule: transfer RNA, 75 nt
Filed under: Planctomycetaceae bacterium
Lineage: Bacteria; Pseudomonadati; Planctomycetota; Planctomycetia; Planctomycetales; Planctomycetaceae
Description: tRNA-Asn
Source: RNAcentral
AGCGGUGGGGUCUGUGUUGGUACAGGCAGGCGGCCGUUAACCGUCCCUACGCGGGUUCGAUUCCUGCCACCGCUG